GUAGGGAAUAUUGCGCAAUGGGGGAAACCCUGACGCAGCGACGCCGCGUGAGUGAUGAAGGCCUUCGGGUCGUAAAGCUCUGUUGCAGGGGAAUAAAAAAAUGAAGGUACCCUGUGAGGAAGGAUCGGCUAACUUCGUGCCAGCAGCCGCGGUAAGACGAGGGAUCCUAGCGUUGCUCGGAAUCAUUGGGCGUAAAGAGGGCGUAGGUGGCUUGGUAAGUCAGGUGUGAAAGCCCAGGGCUCAACCCUGGAAGUGCAGUUGAUACUGCUGAGCUUGAGUGUCGGAGAGGUUACCGGAAUACCUGGUGUAGUGGUGAAAUACGUAGAUAUCAGGUGGAACACCGGAGGCGAAGGCGGGUAACUGGACGAACACUGACACUGAGGCCCGAAAGCGUGGGGAUCAAACAGGAUUAGAUACCCGAGUAGUCC
RNAcentral lists this ribosomal RNA (428 nucleotides) under uncultured bacterium. RNAcentral's name for it is "partial 16S ribosomal RNA". It matches the Rfam family "Bacterial small subunit ribosomal RNA", at positions 354 to 796 of the family's 1533-position model. The record is from RNAcentral.